CAACAUUAUGAAACUAAUAACCACAUAUAGUCAGCAUAUCACCAUUGCAACCAAUGUAUGUUAAGCCCUUGAUACUCAUAACCCAACUUAUAUACCUCAUAACCAAGCAAACACAAUAAGGUUAGCUUCCCUUACCUUAACUUUUUCAGAGGCUUGCUCACGCUUUUAGGUUUCUCACGGUUGUGCUGCUCCCCUUUUCUUCUCAAUCUCUCUCGCGGUCCCUCACCAACCAGGAUGAAGCUCGGGUUGGUUUUCUCUUUUUACUUUUUCUUUUCUGCCCUUUUUAAAAUAGUUUCCGAUCAUCCUAUAUCAUCCUCCAACCCCUCUAUGUAACUGCCCUAGGUCUACUCUAAGAUGACCCAAACACAGCUUCUCAUACAUUCCAAGUCCGGCCCAAAGAAGUUCUCACAACAUCUACCAAUUAUAUCUCUUAAACUCUGACCUAAAAUCUUAUUUUUCUGUUAUGAUCUCCCAUCACCGCCUUCUCUUUUAAAAUACUUAACGUCCUAAAAGAGGUUGUCGUUUAAGGAAAUAAAUCUGCGUUUAAAACUCUGAAGCUACCACCCAUUCCUAACAUUAUGAUUGCAAGAAAAUAAAGCUUUGAGGAAAAAAAAAAGCUGGAAUAAACUCCCCUGGAAUAAACUUUCAACCAAUAAAUACAAAGAACAAUAUUUUCUCUCUCCUGUCCCUAAGAGCUAACGAGACCAUGCAAAGCAGUAAAAUGUUCUC
RNAcentral lists this long non-coding RNA (729 nucleotides) under Vigna radiata. RNAcentral describes it as "long non-coding RNA (VRAD_LNC000460)". Lineage: Eukaryota; Viridiplantae; Streptophyta; Magnoliopsida; Fabales; Fabaceae. The record is from RNAcentral.